UCUGAAUAAGAGGGAGGAAUCAGGUUUCCACUCACACAUAUGAAAUCACCUUUAAAAUACCCUGGCCCAGCUCUUCUUGUUGAAGACACCUCUGGAAUAUCCCAAAAUGGCAGGAGCCAUGGGCAAACAGGAUCUCAAGAGCGCUGAGGUACCUCCAAGCAGUUUGGCCCCAGUCCUUCACCCUGCAGCUCCAUCACCAAGGACUUACCUGCCUACACGGAGGCUGGGUUGGCACUCAGAGAACUUCUGUGUGCCAGCAGACAGGAGCAAGCUCAGAUUAGCUUCAUGACUGCGUAGCCAGCUAGACUUCAGAAGGCUGCAUUACUGCAUGCAAAUAAAUGUGAAAACCCUUCUGAGAUGGUACUGGAA
Molecule: long non-coding RNA, 369 nt
Filed under: Phasianus colchicus (ring-necked pheasant)
Lineage: Eukaryota; Metazoa; Chordata; Aves; Galliformes; Phasianidae
Description: lncRNA (ENSPCLG00000020799.1)
Source: RNAcentral